ACGGGUGAGUAACACGUAAGGAACCUGCCUCAAGGAUUGGGAUAACUCCGAGAAAUCGGAGCUAAUACCGGAUAGUUCAACGGACCGCAUGGUCCGCUGAUGAAAGGCGCUUCGGCGUCACCUUGAGAUGGCCUUGCGGUGCAUUAGCUAGUUGGUGGGGUAACGGCCCACCAAGGCGACGAUGCAUAGCCGACCUGAGAGGGUGAUCGGCCACACUGGGACUGAGACACGGCCCAGACUCCUACGGGAGGCAGCAGUAGGGAAUCUUCCACAAUGGACGAAAGUCUGAUGGAGCAACGCCGCGUGAGUGAUGAAGGUUUUCGGAUCGUAAAACUCUGUUGUAAGGGAAGAACACGUACGAGAGGAAAUGCUCGUACCUUGACGGUACCUUACGAGAAAGCCACGGCUAACUACGUGCCAGCAGCCGCGGUAAUACGUAGGUGGCAAGCGUUGUCCGGAAUUAUUGGGCGUAAAGCGCGCGCAGGCGGCCUUUUAAGUCUGAUGUGAAAGCCCCCGGCUCAACCGGGGAGGGCCAUUGGAAACUGGAAGGCUUGAGUACAGAAGA
This 565-nucleotide ribosomal RNA is filed under the name uncultured bacterium. Its description in RNAcentral is "bacterial SSU rRNA". It matches the Rfam family "Bacterial small subunit ribosomal RNA", at positions 102 to 655 of the family's 1533-position model. The record is from RNAcentral.